GGGCCCGCACAAGCAGCGGAGCAUGUGGUUUAAUUCGAAGCAACGCGAAGAACCUUACCAAGGCUUGACAUCCUACUAAAGCUGUGGAAACACAGUGUCCCUUCGGGGGAGUAGAGACAGGUGGUGCAUGGUUGUCGUCAGCUCGUGUCGUGAGAUGUUGGGUUAAGUCCCGCAACGAGCGCAACCCUUAUUGCUAGUUACCAGCGGGUAAAGCCGGGAACUCUAGUGAGACCGCCGGGGAUAACUCGGAGGAAGGUGGGGAUGACGUCAAAUCAUCAUGCCCCUUAUGUCUUGGGCUACACACGUGCUACAAUGGCCACUACAGAGGGCAGCGAGACCGUAAGGUGGAGCAAAUCUCAGAAAAGUGGUCCCAGUUCGGAUUGUGGGCUGCAACCCGCCCACAUGAAGUCGGAGUUGCUAGUAAUCGCGAAUCAGCAUGUCGCGGUGAAUACGUUCCCGGGCCUU
This 465-nucleotide ribosomal RNA is filed under the name uncultured bacterium. RNAcentral describes it as "bacterial SSU rRNA". It matches the Rfam family "Bacterial small subunit ribosomal RNA", at positions 917 to 1382 of the family's 1533-position model. The record is from RNAcentral.